Molecule: long non-coding RNA, 143 nt
Organism: Cucurbita maxima (winter squash)
Lineage: Eukaryota; Viridiplantae; Streptophyta; Magnoliopsida; Cucurbitales; Cucurbitaceae
Exons: 3
Source: RefSeq, a predicted model, not a curated record
AGCAGUGGCAUCAACUUAGAGAUCAUAAGCCAAAAAAAGUUCCAUAAGCUAUCAGUUUUUCCUUCUCCUACAACUUCUCUAGCUUCUUCACCAUGUCAGGCAAGUGCGGCAACUGCGACUGCUCCGACAGCAGCAACUGCGUG